This is a long non-coding RNA of Zophobas morio, 670 nucleotides long. RefSeq lists it as uncharacterized. Lineage: Eukaryota; Metazoa; Arthropoda; Insecta; Coleoptera; Tenebrionidae. The transcript has 3 exons. The record is from RefSeq and is a predicted model, not a curated record.
UAGUUUUCACUACAAAAAUAGCCACGUUUUGGGUUUAGGAUAUGACAAUUUGAAUAAAAAUUCAUAAAACAAGUAACUAGCGUGAGUGUCCAUAUUAUGGUAGAAGAAAUGAUUAUUAUCCUUACAGACAAAAACUGUUCAUUUUCGGAUUUUCGUGAUGGAAGAUUGAAGCUCUAUUUUGGUCAGAGUUCCUGAAGAUAUAUCUGAUGAUAUACAAGAUUUUUCUUUUUGGUGUAAAAGCAAAGAGGUAGAAAGUGUUAGUGAAUAUAUAUUGGUGGCGUAUUUAAAAUUAACUGAAAAUGUUGAUUUUUUUACGUAGGACAAAAUACCAGCUGAAAAACGUGUUGUUUUGUCAGAGGCUUGAUAAAUUUUUGCUGCAUACUUCCGUGAAAAGCUUGUUGAUCUAGUCCUAGAUAAUGUUACGGAUGAAGGGGAAUUUGUUAUGGUAACGUUAGAAGUGAUUGGUUUACAAAUUAUGCAUCAUUAAGAUCGUCCGGGUACACAGUCAAUGAUUUUUCAUGGAUUACAGAAGUGGAAAGUGCACUUGACAAUUUCAAUCAUAAAAGUGCAGAGUUUUUAAAACCAAAACACCCUGAAAAUUAUACCCAUCAUUAUUUUAAGAAGUCCUCCGCCAUUUUGUUGGUUAAUACAGAAAUUUUUAAUUUAGAAA